Triticum aestivum (bread wheat) is the source of this 622-nucleotide long non-coding RNA. RefSeq lists it as uncharacterized. The record is from RefSeq and is a predicted model, not a curated record. The transcript is spliced from 3 exons. NCBI's taxonomy places the organism in Eukaryota, Viridiplantae, Streptophyta, Magnoliopsida, Poales, Poaceae.
UCUAUCCCCAAUCUCUCUCUCUCUCUCUCUCAUCCCCAAUUCGCCUCUCAGCCGAGCUCCAUGACCACGCCGCUGCCUCGGCACCACCGAUUCCGGUUAGCUCCGGUGCUCUCCCGCGAAGUUUCUCACCAGCCCGUCUGUCCCUCGGUGCUCUCCACCGACCCCGUGCCGCCGCGACGUCCUCCGCCCACCUACCGCAACCCUACUGGUCGCCGUGGGUCGCCGGCGCGGCUGCCGCGCCUCCUCUGGUUUCUGGCUUGGUCUCGGCGGUGUUGCUCUGCUUCGGCUACCUCACCUCCGACAUUGACGGUUUAGUUCUGAAAUUGACCUUGCUUCAGCCAACAUGCGUGUGGUCGUUCUGUCUCUUAGCAGGGGUCGAGGCCAUGGCUCACGUCUGGGGCUCAACACAUCUGAAUCUCCUCUUGUGGUACAUGUCCCCAUCUCUGUUCAGGGUGGCGCUACAAGAUCAAAUCGAAACCAGAUCACAUGGCAGCUCAGUCUGGUAUGUACAUCAUUCCCAACUGCUAAUUAAUUAUUCCGUGAUGUCUUCUCGUUUACUAACCAGAGCAUGCUCUUGUCUGUACUAAGUAGAUCAUGCAUUCCUUCAAGGUUGAGUCAGGGC